Molecule: long non-coding RNA, 850 nt
Organism: Orbicella faveolata
Lineage: Eukaryota; Metazoa; Cnidaria; Anthozoa; Scleractinia; Merulinidae
Source: RefSeq, a predicted model, not a curated record
AAACAGGGAACCGUUUUUGAAAUGUGUAUUUUCUUAAUUUCAAUGUGUUGGAAUGUUAUAAAUAUGUAUGUUUCUUUAAUGGUUUUAAAUUUGCCUUAUUUUAAUAGGUGGAUUGUGUGAGGAAAGAUGUUCUGUUAAGAAAUCCUGUCGUAAGUUUGGACAAUACGUCUGUCUUUGCGAAAAGAGAAAGACAGGAACAAAUUGCGACAUUGAGGACACGGUAAAGAAUACUUUUGAGGUUGGAAUUGAAUUCAAAGAAGAGUUUAAACCGGAGUAUGAAAACUUGGAGAAUCCAACAACGCAACUUUUUGUCAAUGACAUAAAGAAUGCUGUAAAAGAGGAGUUCAACGGCUCUGGUGUCCAAGAUGUAAAGGUGACAAAACUGAGGUAAUUACAUGUAUUAUUUGUUGUUACUGUCACCACUAUGCUUGUAUUUAGUUGUUCGUCGAGAGCCAACCAUCUUACAUUGGGCAUUGCUACUUACUUAGGCUAAGGGUUACUUUUAUAUACAUCUAGACCGAUUUUGCGAAAAAAAGCAGUAAGCAUUUUGAUCCUCGAGUCUAUACUUCUGGCUAUGACAUAAACUGCAAUACCAUUCGGCAAGCCAUUUCCACUUAUUAUUUUAAGUUACCCUAUGUAGGCUCCUUGAAUAGAGAAACACAGAAAAGGCUACGCAAACUCGUUCAGCGCUAUUGUACCAACAUCGAAAUUAAGUUAGCUGUUUCUUCUUUUAAAGUUGGUAGUAUCUUUAGUGUUAAGGAUCCUGUUCCUCUCGAUCUCAGUUCGCGUGUUGUCUACAAGUUUUCGUGUGCAGGAUGUAAUGCCUGUUACAUCGGCGAGACUAGCCGAC